UAUAAUUAUCAGUAAAUUUAUCAUCAACCAAGCUUUUAUAAUCCAUAAAGAAGCAUGUGCAUGAGGUUUGAUUCUGGUUUAGAGUCACUUACUGCUUUCAAAUAAAGUAAUCAGUUCAUAGUAUCAUAGUCGUAAAUAGGAAUAAAUUACAAGGGUGGUCAGCAAAAAAUAUAGGAAUCUAUACAUAUUUGUACAUGGUGAAAUUUGCAAGACAUUCUGUCAUAGGAUUGGAAUGUUCAUACCUAGUUUUUUUUUAGUUGUACCCUAGCAUAGCCAUGGUCGACCCUUGAGAACUGGGGUAGCAGGUGCUUAAGAAAACCCCAUGACUAAAUGAUUGAGAUGAUAUUGCGGCACACUUUACCGCCGCGCUCAACCAGGUGUUGUAAGCUACAGGUGUUGUAGGCUACAGGUGUUGUGGGCUACAGGUGUUGUAGGCUACAGGUGUUGUAUGCUACAGGUGUUGUAGGCUACAGGUGUUGUGGGCUACAGGUGUUGUAUGCUACAGGUGUUGUAGGCUACAGGUGUUGUGGGCUACAGGUGUUGUAGGCUACAGGUGUUGUGGGCUACAGGUGUUGUAGGCUACAGGUGUUGUAGGCUACAGGUGUUGUGGGCUACAGGUGUUGUAGGCUACAGGUGUUGUAGGCUACAGGUGUUGUAGGCUACAGGUGUUGUAGGCUACAGGUGUUGUAGGCUACAGGUGUUGUAGGCUACAGGUGUUGUGGGCUACAGGUGUUGUGGGCUACAGGUGUUGUAUGCUACAGGUGUUGUGGGCUACAGGUGUUGUAGGCUACAGGUGUUGUAAGCUACAGGUGUUGUAGGCUACAGGUGUUGUAGGCUAAAGGGCAAUAUCAUUUGAUAGCUCGGGACAGAUAAAGUGUGAGGCAGAUUUUUGUACACUUUCUACAAGAAGCCAGAAAUAAUCUGGCAGGUUAUCCAUACUGGAGACACAUAUUCGAGGAUAGACUACGAUAAACUAAAACGAUAACAAACAAUAAACUAAAACGACUCAGAGUUUUGCAUUGCUGUGCAGUUCUGAUAUAUAGAGUUUGACUCUAAAA
Nematostella vectensis (starlet sea anemone) is the source of this 1058-nucleotide long non-coding RNA. RefSeq lists it as uncharacterized. NCBI's taxonomy places the organism in Eukaryota, Metazoa, Cnidaria, Anthozoa, Actiniaria, Edwardsiidae. The transcript is spliced from 2 exons. The record is from RefSeq and is a predicted model, not a curated record.